GCCGGGUUGGUGGAAUGGUAGACACGAUCGUCUCAAAAGCGAUUGCCCGAGAGGGCGUGCGGGUUCGAGUCCCGCACCCGGCACCG
RNAcentral lists this transfer RNA (86 nucleotides) under Streptantibioticus cattleyicolor NRRL 8057 = DSM 46488. RNAcentral describes it as "Streptomyces cattleya NRRL 8057 = DSM 46488 tRNA-Leu". It matches the Rfam family "tRNA". From Rfam's summary of the family: Transfer RNA (tRNA) molecules are approximately 80 nucleotides in length. Their secondary structure includes four short double-helical elements and three loops (D, anti-codon, and T loops). Further hydrogen bonds mediate the characteristic L-shaped molecular structure. tRNAs have two regions of fundamental functional importance: the anti-codon, which is responsible for specific mRNA codon recognition, and the 3' end, to which the tRNAs corresponding amino acid is attached (by aminoacyl-tRNA synthetases). tRNAs cope with the degeneracy of the genetic code in two manners: having more than one tRNA (with a specific anti-codon) for a particular amino acid; and 'wobble' base-pairing, i.e. permitting non-standard base-pairing at the 3rd anti-codon position. The record is from RNAcentral. Lineage: Bacteria; Bacillati; Actinomycetota; Actinomycetes; Kitasatosporales; Streptomycetaceae.